GACGAACGCUGGCGGCGUGCUUAACACAUGCAAGUCGAACGAUGACGCCCAGCUUGCUGGGUGGAUUAGUGGCGAACGGGUGAGUAACACGUGGGCAACCUGCCCCAAACUCUGGGAUAACUCCUCGCAAGAGGUGCUAAUACCGGAUACGAACUAGGUAGACAUCUGCACAAGUUGGAAAGUUGUUCGGUUUGGGAUGGGCCCGCGGCCUAUCAGCUUGUUGGUGACUUAACGGCUCACCAAGGCUACGACGGGUAACCGGCCUGAGAGGGCAACAGGUCAGAGUGGGCCUGGGGACCGGACCAGGCGCCUACGGGAGGCAGCAGGAGGAAAAAUUGCGCAGUGGGGGAAAGGCGGACGAGAAGACGCCGCGUGAGGAAUGAAGGUCUUCGGAUAGUAAACCUCUUUCAGUGGGGACGAAGCGAAAGUGACGGUACCUAAAGAAGAAGCACCGGCUAACUACGUGCCAGCAGCCGCCGUAA
Molecule: ribosomal RNA, 482 nt
Filed under: uncultured bacterium
Lineage: Bacteria
Description: partial 16S ribosomal RNA
Rfam family: Bacterial small subunit ribosomal RNA
Source: RNAcentral